RNAcentral lists this non-coding RNA (30 nucleotides) under Rattus norvegicus (Norway rat). Lineage: Eukaryota; Metazoa; Chordata; Mammalia; Rodentia; Muridae. The record is from RNAcentral.
UCCCAAGACCUGGGGUCACAGCACUAUCGC